Etheostoma spectabile (orangethroat darter) is the source of this 149-nucleotide long non-coding RNA. RefSeq lists it as uncharacterized. The transcript has 3 exons. NCBI's taxonomy places the organism in Eukaryota, Metazoa, Chordata, Actinopteri, Perciformes, Percidae. The record is from RefSeq and is a predicted model, not a curated record.
AUAUUUAUUCUGUUUUUAUAUUUAUAUAUUCUGUUAAUACACUGCAGAUAUCUAUAUCUAUAUUAUUCUUACUACUAGUAUAAUGUCUCUGCUACUACAUUGCACAUAUCUGUACAUGUUGUUCAUACAUUGUCCAUAUUACAUAUUUA